This 259-nucleotide long non-coding RNA is filed under the name Homo sapiens (human). Its description in RNAcentral is "HSALNT0244412". The record is from RNAcentral. Lineage: Eukaryota; Metazoa; Chordata; Mammalia; Primates; Hominidae.
AUAUGAUGAUCUAUGUUACCAGGGACGUAUUAUAGCAACUAAAAUUUCCAUGAAUAUAGAAACCCCGAUUUGCACUCUUUGUCAAAAUUAAACUUUGAAAUAUCUCUUUUCUGAAAUAGCAGUUUCUGUUAGAAAUACAGAUGAAAUGAGACUUUAUCUUUUAAAAUAUAUGUAAGCAGUUCAAUAGAGUCUUUGAAAAUUAUAAUAAUUUUAUUAUAUAUAUAAAAUGGUUAGUAUAGAAAAGUUAGAAAAUACAAAG